UGGUGUUACUGCGAAGGGGGGACGGAGAAGGCUAUGUUGGCCGGGCGACGGUUGUCCCGGUUUAAGCGUGUAGGUGUGUGUUCCAGGUAAAUCCGGUUCACUUUAACACUGAGGCGUGACGACGAGGCACUACGGUGCUGAAGCAACAAAUGCCCUGCUUCCAGGAAAAGCCUCUAAGCAUCAGGUAACAUCAAAUCGUACCCCAAACCGACACAGGUGGUCAGGUAGAGAAUACCAAGGCGCUUGAGAGAACUCGGGUGAAGGAACUAGGCAAAAUGGUGCCGUAACUUCGGGAGAAGGCACGCUGACACGUAGGUGAAGUGAUUUACUCAUGGAGCUGAAGUCAGUCGAAGAUACCAGCUGGCUGCAACUGUUUAUUAAAAACACAGCACUGUGCAAACACGAAAGUGGACGUAUACGGUGUGACGCCUGCCCGGUGCCGGAAGGUUAAUUGAUGGGGUCAGCGCAAGCGAAGCUCCUGAUCGAAGCCCCGGUAAACGGCGGCCGUAACUAUAACGGUCCUAAGGUAGCGAAAUUCCUUGUCGGGUAAGUUCCGACCUGCACGAAUGGCGUAAUGAUGGCCAGGCUGUCUCCACCCGAGACUCAGUGAAAUUGAACUCGCUGUGAAGAUGCAGUGUACCCGCGGCAAGACGGAAAGACCCCGUGAACCUUUACUAUAGCUUGACACUGAACAUUGAGCCUUGAUGUGUAGGAUAGGUGGGAGGCUUUGAAGUGUGGACGCCAGUCUGCAUGGAGCCGACCUUGAAAUACCACCCUUUAAUGUUUGAUGUUCUAACGUGGACCCGUUACCCGGGUUGCGGACAGUGUCUGGUGGGUAGUUUGACUGGGGCGGUCUCCUCCUAAAGAGUAACGGAGGAGCACGAAGGUUGGCUAAUCCUGGUCGGACAUCAGGAGGUUAGUGCAAUGGCAUAAGCCAGCUUGACUGCGAGCGUGACGGCGCGAGCAGGUGCGAAAGCAGGUCAUAGUGAUCCGGUGGUUCUGAAUGGAAGGGCCAUCGCUCAACGGAUAAAAGGUACUCCGGGGAUAACAGGCUGAUACCGCCCAAGAGUUCAUAUCGACGGCGGUGUUUGGCACCUCGAUGUCGGCUCAUCACAUCCUGGGGCUGAAGUAGGUCCCAAGGGUAUGGCUGUUCGCCAUUUAAAGUGGUACGCGAGCUGGGUUUAGAACGUCGUGAGACAGUUCGGUCCCUAUCUGCCGUGGGCGCUGGAGAACUGAGGGGGGCUGCUCCUAGUACGAGAGGACCGGAGUGGACGCAUCACUGGUGUUCGGGUUGUCAUGCCAAUGGCACUGCCCGGUAGCUAAAUGCGGAAGAGAUAAGUGCUGAAAGCAUCUAAGCACGAAACUUGCCCCGAG
RNAcentral lists this ribosomal RNA (1374 nucleotides) under Salmonella enterica subsp. enterica serovar Enteritidis. RNAcentral's name for it is "partial 23S ribosomal RNA". It matches the Rfam family "Bacterial large subunit ribosomal RNA", at positions 1446 to 2803 of the family's 2925-position model. Lineage: Bacteria; Pseudomonadati; Pseudomonadota; Gammaproteobacteria; Enterobacterales; Enterobacteriaceae. The record is from RNAcentral.